Molecule: ribosomal RNA, 301 nt
Filed under: uncultured bacterium
Lineage: Bacteria
Description: partial 16S ribosomal RNA
Rfam family: Bacterial small subunit ribosomal RNA
Source: RNAcentral
CAGUCGCCACGGGAAUACAGAGGUCUCAAGCGUUGUUCGGAUUCAUUGGGCGUAAAGGGUGCGUAGGUGGCGGUGUAAGUCUAACGUGAAAUCUCGGGGCUCAACCUCGAAAUUGCGUCGGAUACUGCAUUGCUAGAGGAUUGUAGAGGAGAGUGGAAUUCAUGGUGUAGCAGUGAAAUGCGUAGAUAUCAUGAGGAAGACCAGUUGCGAAGGCGACUCUCUGGGCAAUUCCUGACACUGAGGCACGAAGGCUAGGGGAGCAAACGGGAUUAGAUACCCCGGUAGUCCCUGUCUCUUAUAC